UNUUCAGUGUUGUAGCCUGGCACCUGAA
Molecule: non-coding RNA, 28 nt
Filed under: Mus musculus (house mouse)
Lineage: Eukaryota; Metazoa; Chordata; Mammalia; Rodentia; Muridae
Source: RNAcentral